CCCGGGCUAAACUACGUGCCCAGCAGCCCGCGGGUAAUACGUAGGGUGCGAGCGUUAAUCGGAAAUUACUGGGCGUAAAGCGUGCGCAGGCGGGUUUUGUAAGUCAGAUGUGAAAUCCCCGAGCUCAACUUGGGAAACUGCGUUUGAAACUACAAGACUAGAAUAUGUCAGAGGGGGGUAGAAUUUCCACGUGUAGCAGUGAAAUGCGUAGAGAUGUGGAGGAAUACCAAUGGCGAAGGCAGCCCCCUGGGAUAAUAUUGACGCUCAUGCACGAAAGCGUGGGGAGCAAACAGGAUUAGAUACCCUGGUAGUCCACGCCCUAAACGAUGUCUACUAGUUGUUGGUGGAGUAAAAUCCAUGAGUAACGCAGCUAACGCGUGAAGUAGACCGCCUGGGGAGUACGGUCGCAAGAUUAAAACUCAAAUGAAUUGACGGGGGCCCGCACAAGCGGUGGAUUAUGUGGAUUAAUUCGAUGCAACGCGAAAAACCUUACCUGGCCUUGACAUGUAACGAACUUUCCAGAGAUGGAUUGGUGCUCGAAAGAGAACGUUAACACAGGUGCUGCAUGGCUGUCGUCAGCUCGUGUCGUGAGAUGUUGGGUUAAGUCCCGCAACGAGCGCAACCCUUGCCAUUAAUUGCCAUCAUUUAGUUGGGCACUUUAAUGGGACUGCCGGUGACAAACCGGAGGAAGGUGGGGAUGACGUCAAGUCCUCAUGGCCCUUAUGGCCAGGGCUUCACACGUAAUACAAUGGUCGGUACAGAGGGUUGCCAACCCGCGAGGGGGAGCCAAUCCCAGAAAGCCGAUCGUAGUCCGGAUUGUAGUCUGCAACUCGACUACAUGAAGUCGGAAUCGCUAGUAAUCGCGGAUCAGCAUGUCGCGGUGAAUACGUUCCCGGGCCUUGUACACACCGCCCGUCACACCAUGGGAGUGGGUUUUACCAGAAGUAGGUAGUCUAACCGCAAGGAGGACGCUUACCACGGUAGUAUUCAUGACUGGGGUG
Molecule: ribosomal RNA, 1001 nt
Filed under: uncultured bacterium
Lineage: Bacteria
Description: bacterial SSU rRNA
Rfam family: Bacterial small subunit ribosomal RNA
Source: RNAcentral